AAAGGAUCAGCAUGUUUUCAUCCUUACUAGGAUUUAGGCAUAAGGAUGGUUGAUGGGUAGGAAGAGAUUUGAUGAGAUGUACCAUCAGAGAUAAAAGGGAGGGAACAGAAACUUAACUGUGCUUUUACUUUUCAGAAGGGAGCCAGGGACUAUAGAUCAGGAGCCAAAACUUGGAUAAUGAGGUAAGAUUCUGGAAUGCAUGUUAUUUUGUCAUGUUUGGUGCCUACUCUUAGCAUAUUUUUUUUGAAAGCUUAUGGAAAAAAGACUCUAAACUUGACUUUGAAAACUGCUAGAAAGGGAUUUCUGUGAACCUAGCAUUCUACUCUGUCACCAAGCUGAGGAAAAAUAAAUCUUCGUGGGGGAAAAUAAAAGGGUACUGGCAGAAUUGAAAGAGAAAAGGAAAUGGACUGAGCCUCUGAGACUUAUGCAAAGUUAGCAAAUGAGCAAAAGUCUCUGGAACUGAUAGAAGUCUUAGGGCUUGGCUCACAGUUCUGGGAUUUGUGAUAACAGAUAGUUAUCCUUUGCAAAUCCUCAAAGUAGCCCAUGAAGGAACCCUGAUGUUUCAUUCUAAUCAACAAAGUGGUUUUCAGGUUAGUGGAUAACAGGGAAACCAGGAAGUGAGCCUCUGUGAGUCGGGGGAGAAAAGCAUGGCAUUGCCACAGCCAUGAUUGAUAGAGGAAACAUGCUUCCAUCCCAGUUUGUGGAGGCCUGUUGAACCAGGGGUUUGCAGGAAUCACUAGGUCACAACAUGAGGAGUAAGAAGGACUCCUCCACCCUGAGAGGUAUAUACUGAGGAAUAUCUGAUCAUGGGAUCAACUGGAGAAAACCAGUAGGAAUUGGCUUUUUAGAAAGAUCACUCAGUGUAGAGAAUGGAUUAGAGAGGGUAUGACUGCUGGGAGAGAGACCAGUUGGGAAGCUGGUAUGGGUAAUCUAGAUAAGAUGAUGAUGGUCUGAACUUGAAUAGCAGCACUGUGCGUGGGGGGAAAUGGAUCAACGCAAAGAUAUUUAAGGGGCAAAAUUAACAAAAUAUGAUAUGGGAGGUGAAGGAGCAUGGAUGUUAUCAUACACUUAUCAAGGAAUCUUUUUUUCAGUGGAACAUCUGUGAACACAUAGAAGAACGGUUAUAGCAAAACACAUGACUGAAUGGGACAAUAUAGUGAAAAUGCAAACUUUGGCCUAGAGUGAGAGCCGACGCCCCUUCACUGGGGUGGAUGAGCAGCAGAGACAGGGAGACCUGGCCCUCCCAGAACAGAGUGAAGCUGACCAGAUUGCAAUGUUCAACUCUGAACGAAAUGCCAAAAACAAGUACCUGAAGGCUAAAGACAGUGAACAAAAGCAGGCAAGUUUUGGUGGGAAGAUGAAACUUGGAAGAAGGUGCCAUUAAGAGGAGGUAAGUUUCCUGGUUUUGAUGUGUUAGCCUGAGGGCAGUCUACUAGCAGAGUAGCUAAAACACAAUAGAAAGCCAUCUUUUUUUUUUUUUUUUUUUUUUUUUUUUUUUUUUUUUUUUUUUUUUUUGGCUUGAACAACCUGAGAGCAGAGUCUGCAGCAACACAGUCACUGGAUGGAGGGGGAAAUCCCAGAACAGAGGCAGAGAAGGUCAUGCCGCAAUUUCUGAGUAUGAACUUUGCUUAGAUCUCUAGCUGACCCCUGAGGCACACCUGUGGGGUAGACCCAAAGCAAUCUGCAGCUAGUCAGAACUCAACUGAGAUGUGAUUUACUUAUAACCACAGGUUGGGUCAGUUUGCAGUUUGAGUUGAACCAAGUUAAUCGAUUGCCUGCCAUAGCAAAAACAUCGACACUAUUCUGAGGAGUAAAACGGAAUCCGUGGUUUCCACAACAUAACAGUCACAAUUCAAAAUUACUCAGCAUAGGAGGAACCAGAAAAAGGCAGUCCUUUGCAAAAGAUAAGACAAUUAAUGGAAGCCAACCCUGAGAUAACAUAGAUGUUGGCCUGAUCAGACAAGGACUAUGAAACAGCUAUUAUAACUAUGCUCAAUGAGGUAAAAGAAAAUAUGUUGUAAUGAAUGGAAAGAUAAGAAAUCUCAGCAAGGAUGGAGAAAUAUUUAGAAAUGUCGAUGAAAAGAGUCAAACUCUGUAAAAUAUUUGAAUAGAUUUAUUCUGAGCCAAAUAUGAGCGACCACGACACGUGACACAGCCGUCAGGAGGUCCUGAGAACAUGUGCCCAAGGUGGUUGGGGUUCAGCUUGGUUAUAUACAUUUUGGGGAGGCAUGAAACAUCAAUCAAAUACAUUUGAAAAAUACAUUGGUUUGUUCCAGAAAGGCAGGACAAUUUGAAGUGGGGGGGAUGGUGCUUCCAGGCUAUAGGUAAAUUUAAUCAUUUCUGGUUGACAAUUGGUUGAGUUUGUAUAAAGACCUGAGAUUAAUAGAAGAAUUUGAGCAAGAUAAAAAAUCAGAGCUUAGUCCUCAGAAAGAACCAAACAAAUUUUACAAAAGAACCAAACAAUAUCUGAGAUAAAAAUAUAUCUCUUAAUUCACUAUGCUAAACUGCCUCCCUGCUUCUCAAUGUUUAUCUGUUAGAUCAAGUUUAUGUUUAUCAAUUGUGUUUAGACCUUAUCUCCAUUUACUAAGUUAAGGUCUUUUUGAUUUAUAAGUUUCUGAAAGAGGCAUAAUAAAAAUUCCCACUAUGGCUGUGGCUAUAUCAAUUUUAGCUUGUAAUUCUGACUGUUCCCACUUUUGUAUGUUGAGAUUUUUUGCUAGGGUCAUUCACAUUUAUGAUUAUUAUAUCUGCUUUGUAAAUUGUUCCUUAUGUAGCAUCUCACUUUAUCCUUAUUUAUGUCUUUUCUUAAAUUCUAUUUUCUUUACUUUUUAACAUCAAUAUUUUGUCAAAAUUUGUAGAGUAAAAUGUUUAAGAAAAUCAAGGAAAGAAAAUAUGAGCCAGAAAUUUUAUAAGAAGACAAACUGACCUUUAAUUAUAAGAGUCACAGGCAAGUUCUAAUGAAAACAUUAGAAUUCAGGGACUAUUUUUCCCAGAUCGUUCCUAAGGAAUCUACUAAACAGCAUGAACAUUAAACAACCAACAUAAUUGAAAAGUUUGAUAUGAGGAUUUAUGGUAAGGAUGAAUCAUAUAUUUAUUUACAGAAAUAAGUCUAAAUUAUGCUUACAAGGAAUAGAGAAUAGUAUGCAAUGGUUGUGUGCUCUGACAAUGUAGAUACAGUACAACUAUAAAAAAUUGGUGGGGGAGUGGGGAGAGCUAUGAAAAGCAGAAUUAGCUUGUCAUUUGCCUUAUAGUUAUUAACUGAAGUAAAAGGACAUUACUUCAAAUCAGAUGUUGAGGAAAAGGGAGAGUUGGGGCAAAAGAGGUUUAUAGUUACUUUCAAUAUUGCUCAUUAGAGGGAAGCAAUAGUCAUUUACCAAGAAAAAA
Molecule: long non-coding RNA, 3381 nt
Filed under: Homo sapiens (human)
Lineage: Eukaryota; Metazoa; Chordata; Mammalia; Primates; Hominidae
Description: HSALNT0364964
Source: RNAcentral